RNAcentral lists this long non-coding RNA (1538 nucleotides) under Homo sapiens (human). RNAcentral's name for it is "HSALNT0006481". The record is from RNAcentral. Lineage: Eukaryota; Metazoa; Chordata; Mammalia; Primates; Hominidae.
UGUGUGGCCUCCUAGAAACAGCAUCAAGCAGGCCCACAUAGGAACCCAUGCUGCCCAUUCCCUCUUGGAAGGAGGUGGGAGCCACGACAGUGGCUGCAAUCAUGCAGCCUGGCCUAUCUAGGUGAAAGGAGAUUCGAAACUGAGCAGCUUGGAUGCUCCUCCUCAUGGCCAGUCUCCAGAGAGGCCUACUGCUCACCAGAUGUGUGGAUGAACAAACCUGAACAGCCUGGAGGCUGGUGAUAUCUACCCCCACAGCGCUUCUUCCUUGGUCCCCCAAGCAGGCUCCAUAACUCCAAGACUUCACGCAGCCUUUUCUGAACUUGGAAGUCAAGAGAAAAUUCACAGAACUUUGGAAAAUACAUUUUCUUUUAAGGAAGAAUUUUUUGUUUUCAUUUCAACAGCCCUGGCUGGUGAUGAGGGGUGAUGCGAGGUGCCCUGUUUUCCAUCCUAACACCUAUUUCCAGGUGGGGGCAGGGAGGGCUCCAACCUGAAAUGUUAUUUCAAAACCUUUCCGGGCCUUGCAGCUCCAUUUCCAGGCCACAUGCUGCAAAGCACGGCACGAUUUCCCAUUACGUGCUGUUGCCCUUUCUCGUCUGAGCACCUUUCAAAGUGGGAAGACCCAGCCUGCUGCAACACCCUCCCUCCUGUCCCCAUAAAUUAAGUCUCACUGCCUGAUGUGAGGCUUAAAUAAAUAGCCUUGCCCGGCACCCGAUGGCCACACUCCUGAUAGAUGGGCUUGCCAAGAGCAGCAAACUCAGCUCGCUCCUCCUUGCCCCUCCACAGAGAGAAGAUGAAACUGGUGUUUUGCAAAUGCUUCCUGCCUGCUUUCUGCCAGCCAAGGCACAUUCCAAGAAGGAGCAGGCCAGCAAAGUCUUGUCAUCUGACGGGGUGAGGACAGAGAUGGAUGAUGCGCUCUUUGCCAGAGAAGGCCACGUUCAGACACUCCCAGAUAGCCAGCUGCCACUUUAUUAACAGCAAAGAUCCCCAUCUGAACGAGGCUGGGAAAGAAAAUAUUUAUGCUUGCCUGUCAGGAGGACCUUCAUUUUUCUUCUGGGGAGCCAGCCAGGGUGCUAGUCCAGGGAUGGAGGAGUGUGACGUGCCUAUGGGGUUGCCCCAGGCCCUUCUGCAUCCCAGGGUUGAUGGAGAGUCCAGAAUGUUCCCAGGGCAGCUCUGGAUGGGGUCGGGAGGUUUCAGAAGAGCUGGAUAUAGGGAGUUCAGGGCCUGAGAAAGCAGAACACACCCUGGCACCUGUUAACUGCAAACAAGAGGACCUGGGUGGGGGAGUGGGUGCUACAGUUAGAAAUCAGUGGCAAAUAGGCCAUUAAAUGAUCUCAUUAUUAAUUAAAAACACAUAGCAGCAUGCAUCUGAUAAGAAACUUUGUACUAAGGAUAAAAUAAUUUUGUAUUGGCAGAAAAUAUCAACACUGGAGCAGAGCUUAUCAUUUAAGCUGGGCAUAUAUUAAAAUCAGUUUAUAUUAUUACUCUUCUCAUGGUCAUUAUUUUGAACAAAAGUUGAAAACCAGUUCUUUAACGGUUUC